Lucilia sericata (common green bottle fly) is the source of this 709-nucleotide long non-coding RNA. RefSeq lists it as uncharacterized. Lineage: Eukaryota; Metazoa; Arthropoda; Insecta; Diptera; Calliphoridae. The record is from RefSeq and is a predicted model, not a curated record. The transcript is spliced from 2 exons.
AUCUGUUCAUGCGUUUGUACAAAUGGUAACGCAGUGCGGGUAUUUGGGGUGAAGUUAGUUGGAGUUUAUUUUACUGUUUUAUCUAUCGGUGUAUAUGUGUGUCAUUCAAUGUGGUGGUGCUAACGUAAAUUUUCCAUUAAAUGACUUGGGUAUAAAAGACGACAUCGCGUCAAACUUUUCUUUUCUUUUACUUUGGUUUACAACUAAUUUGUAUAACUAGAAGAAAUUUUGACCACACAUUUUGGAAAUUUUGUGGAUAUUACCGAAACUUUGCAAAGUCUUAUCAAAAGAACACUUGAAAAACGCAUACUGGCAAUUUGUGAUUUGCGGUGAGGUUAUAUUGAAUCUCGAAAUUACCUCUAACAUCAUUUUUUUUGCACGCUUAAUUAUAUGCACAUGUCACGGUACUAAGAUUUCGUUUUCAUACACCAUACACACAUAAGUAGCAUCUGGUCAUUUACUUGACACUGCUUCAAAAAAAAACGAAUAUUAACAAGAGGAAGAAACAACCCCGGGAAUCAAACAAAAUUGAAAACAUAAAGACAAGUUGUGACAAGUAACUAUAACUAUUUGGUUUUUUCCUUUAAAAACAACCACAAAACAAAUAUUUUAAAAUCUAAUAUCACAGAAAAGUUGCUUAAUCUAUUAUCACAAUGAGGAAAAUUUUAACAAAAACAAUUUAAAUAAAACAAAUCGAAUGGAACCGAAA